Molecule: long non-coding RNA, 1559 nt
Organism: Ursus maritimus (polar bear)
Lineage: Eukaryota; Metazoa; Chordata; Mammalia; Carnivora; Ursidae
Source: Ensembl
CGUGCCCCUCUUGCUGGGAGUUUAGGGCCAUUUUUGUUACUGCGGGACGCUAAGAAGCAAAACUGUACGCGAGACGUGUACUCAGUAGGGGGUGUCUAGGGGCCUAGCUCUCAUCUGCCCUCCCCACCACAGGGCCUUUGCACAGGUUGGGCGUCCUGGCCUUGUGCAGACGACCCCAGCAUGGCUAAUGUUUCUCAACAGGUCUGACUUUCAGUCUGUUGCUACAGUGUUUCUCCCCGAAGCACACCCCCACCCUCCCGCGGGCUGCGCUUGUCACAGAGCAUGUUGUCUUUUGACCGCAUCAGAAUGCAAGUUCUCUGAGAGCCAGGGCUCCACAAAUACAGGAAAUUGAAAACAAGUUGUUUGGAACUGGAACAAAAAUGUUUUCAGAUACACAGUAAAAAAUUUGGAGUUCAGAAGGGUGUUGGGUGAAAACUUGGCAUCCUUCCCUCCCCUGAUGUCCACGGCCUCGCUCCCCUCUCCUGGGGCAGUUUCUCCUGUGUCAACAAAGAAAAUCUAUGCAUAUACAUCUAAUGUGUUUAUACAAAACUUCGCUCCCUUUACAUGUGAUACCGUUUUAGUCAGCGUAGGCGGGAGAGCGGGAGUGCUCUCCGUCUUCUGACGUGCAGAUCUGGGUCAUUCAUUCUAAUUGCUGCACCAUAUUGUAUUAAUACUAGGUUGAUUGUUUCCUGUGGGUAGGAAUUUAGGGUCUUUCUAGUCUUUUUGUAACAAGCAAUACUAGAUUGAUUAUCCUUGUACAAAUGUCUUUGUAUCCAAGUAGGAAUGUUUCUGUUGGCUAAAUUCUUUAGUGCAGGAGGAUAGGUCAAAGGACUUUUCAUAGGUCUCUAAAUGUGUGCGUGAUCUCUUUAACAGGUCAUUCCAAAUUGCCUCCCACCAAGGAAGGAGGGGCCUAGUCCUCCACCCCUGAGGCUUGAUUUUGCAGAUCUGCCUCUGCCGGCCUCGAUGUCCUCAUCUGUGAAAUGGGAGUGACAACUCGAAGGGACUUAGAAGAGGAACCAAACAAGGCAGAGGUCCGAGAUCCUGAUUACGGCUGGGAGGCACUUCUCGUUCGGGGCCAUGCAGCCUGCUGGCGACGACCAGGUGGCAGCCCUGGCCUGUCUGCUCACAGACUCUGCUGGUGGAAGGAAGGCGCGUCCUCAGCGGUCACCGCAGUGGCCCUGAGUGCAGCCCCUGCCACAGCGGCUAGAGGCCCAAGGAGGAUGCUUCCCCAUGCCCCCCUUCCUUCACUCUGCAGGCCUGUGCCCACCCACCUGUGCCCCUUCCUGACUCGCAGCUACCCUGCCCUACACCUUGAGCCCCUUGAAGGCACGUUGCUGGGGGGCUCGCUCUGGCCACAGUAAACAUCCCUGGAAGCAACAAAUGGGUCCUGGCCUCUUUCUCAUCCUGCCCCUGCCCCUGCCCUGGUGCCCGAUGUAAGCUGGGGGGAGGGGAGCCUCCGACGGGCUGCUUGCCUUGUCUGAACUGGGGAGAACCUCUUCUGUGUGGACUGGGCAGCGGGCACCUAGGGCCCCUGAGGGCUGCUGAGAUGCUGGGGGACG